Molecule: ribosomal RNA, 490 nt
Filed under: uncultured bacterium
Lineage: Bacteria
Description: partial 16S ribosomal RNA
Rfam family: Bacterial small subunit ribosomal RNA
Source: RNAcentral
AUUGAACGCUGGCGGCAGGCUUAACACAUGCAAGUCGAACGGUAACAGGAUGACGCUUGCUUCUUUGCUGACGAGUGGCGGACGGGUGAGUAAUGUCUGGGAAACCGCCUGAUGGAGGGGGAUAACUACUGGAAACGGUAGCUAAUACCGCAUAACGUCGCAAGACCAAAGAGGGGGACCUUCGGGCCUCUUUCCAUCGGAUGUGCCCGGAUGGGAUUGGCUAGUAGGUGGGGUAACGGCUCACCUAGGCGACGAUCCGUAGCUGGUCUGAGAGAAUGGGCAGCCACACUGGAGCUGGGACACGGUCCAGACUCCUACGGGAGGCAGCAGUGGGGAAUAUUGCACAGUGGGCGCAAGCCUGAUGCAGCCAUGCCGCGUGUAUGAAGAAGGCCUUCGGGUUGUAAAGUACUUUCAGCGGGGAGGAAGGGAGUAAAGUUGAUACCUUUGCUCAUUGACGUUACUCGCAGAAGAAGCACCGGCUAACUCCGUG